AUCUGUUACAGUGUACUUUUAAUUCUCCUUCACUUGAUUCAUAAAUAGAAUGCAAUAUGCAGACACAUUCUUUGCUAAAUAACAAACAGAACUCAAUGACUUGUUUUCCAUGGGGGUGGCUAAUAUAAAUCAGUAGUCUACACUACACAUAAUAAAUAGACUAUUAUGAUGAAAUAAGAAAAGAUGAGAUUAGUAUUGCAGCGGUGAUAUAGCAAACUUAUGUCUGCCAGAUUCAACUUCUCCAAAUUGAGAUGUUGAUUGUCAUAGAAUGUACAAGAAAGACACAAAUGAAAGACAACAUAUUUUAUAGAUCUGUUCUUUUCAAUCUCUAGAAGACAAGACUUAAAAAUCUAGUCAACUGAACCAAGAUAACUUUGCAAUCAAAUUAGCAUAUACACAAAAUAGGUAAACCUACUACUUAGCUUCAUCUCUUGACUAAUUACACAAGCAAGCUUUUAAGUUAGAUUUGCCAUUCUAAAACUAAGAUCUUUAAUUCUAAUCAAAAGAACAUUCAUCUAUGACUUCCAAAUUCUUCUUCAUGACCCACAUUUCCAAUUUAUAAUUGGGAUAUGCAACAAACCUUGGAUAAUGAGGUACACAUUUACUUUAUGUACUUUAAAUACACCUGAUGUUAAAACCCACAAAUCACCUUAGGAAUAUAGACUUGUUUAAAAGCAUUUAGUAAUACAUAGAUUUUCAUUAUAUACACACACACAUAUAUAUAUAUACAUAUA
This is a non-coding RNA of Biomphalaria pfeifferi, 734 nucleotides long. The record is from the annotation of a GenBank genome assembly. NCBI's taxonomy places the organism in Eukaryota, Metazoa, Mollusca, Gastropoda, Planorbidae.